This 441-nucleotide ribosomal RNA is filed under the name uncultured bacterium. Its description in RNAcentral is "partial 16S ribosomal RNA". It matches the Rfam family "Bacterial small subunit ribosomal RNA", at positions 338 to 795 of the family's 1533-position model. The record is from RNAcentral.
CCUACGGGAGGCAGCAGUGGGGAAUAUUGCACAAUGGGGGAAACCCUGAUGCAGCGACGCCGCGUGAGUGAAGAAGUAUUUCGGUAUGUAAAGCUCUAUCAGCAGGAACGAGACAAGACGGUACCUGACUAAGAAGCCCCGGCUAACUACGUGCCAGCAGCCGCGGUAAUACGUAGGGGGCAAGCGUUAUCCGGAAUCACUGGGUGUAAAGGGAGCGUAGACGGCUGAGCAAGCCUGAAGUGAAAGGCGGGGGCCCAACCCCCGGACUGCUUUGGGAACUGUACGGCUGGAGUGCAGGAGAGGUAAGUGGAAUUCCUAGUGUAGCGGUGAAAUGCGUAGAUAUUAGGAGGAACACCAGUGGCGAAGGCGGUUUACUGGACUGUAACUGACGUUGAGGCUCGAAAGCGUGGGGAGCAAACAGGAUUAGAUACCCGGGUAGUC